RNAcentral lists this long non-coding RNA (323 nucleotides) under Gossypium barbadense (sea-island cotton). RNAcentral's name for it is "long non-coding RNA (GBAR_LNC001025)". The record is from RNAcentral. Lineage: Eukaryota; Viridiplantae; Streptophyta; Magnoliopsida; Malvales; Malvaceae.
AUAUAGUGCAGAAUUCGUGCCCAACAAAGAAGACAGCUACACCAUUGCAGUGGAGAAGCCAAGGAAACUAAGUCCAACAGAGGAAGCCAUUCGCAACUCCUAUACAUCAAAGGAAUCAGGCAAACUAGUGCUGUCAGUGGAUAAUACAAGUUCCAGGAGAAAAAAGGUCGCUGCUUAUCGCUAUACUGUUCGCAAAUCAACCUUGGAGUAGCUUGAGUUAGGUGUUACAAUAAACGAGUGAUCAUGUUUAAUUUUGAAAAGGGUAUUAUUAACUAAUGGUUUGUGAACUUUGAUUUGUUAGUAGUCUGUUUGAGUAGUAGUAA